AAUAGAUGACGCCGUUGAUUUUUUCUCACAUGUUUGACCAUUUGUCUUAUUCAAAAAAUUUACGUAAUUAUAAUUUAUUUUAUUAUGAGUUGUUUUAGCACUCAUAUUACUUUAAGUGUGAUUUAUAUCUUAUGCAUUUGCAUAAAAUUUUUAAAUAAGACAAAUGGUCAAACAUGUGAUAAAAAGUCAACGGCGUCAUCUAUU
This is a non-coding RNA of Oryza glumipatula, 204 nucleotides long. The record is from Rfam. NCBI's taxonomy places the organism in Eukaryota, Viridiplantae, Streptophyta, Magnoliopsida, Poales, Poaceae.